RNAcentral lists this transfer RNA (69 nucleotides) under Ictidomys tridecemlineatus (thirteen-lined ground squirrel). RNAcentral describes it as "Spermophilus tridecemlineatus (thirteen-lined ground squirrel) tRNA". It matches the Rfam family "tRNA". Rfam says of the family: Transfer RNA (tRNA) molecules are approximately 80 nucleotides in length. Their secondary structure includes four short double-helical elements and three loops (D, anti-codon, and T loops). Lineage: Eukaryota; Metazoa; Chordata; Mammalia; Rodentia; Sciuridae. The record is from Rfam by way of RNAcentral.
GGGGUUGUGGCUCAGUGGUGGAGCAUUUGCCUCACAUGUAUGAGGCACUGGGUUCAAUCCUCAACACCA